Molecule: ribosomal RNA, 405 nt
Filed under: uncultured Dehalococcoidaceae bacterium
Lineage: Bacteria; Bacillati; Chloroflexota; Dehalococcoidia; Dehalococcoidales; Dehalococcoidaceae
Description: bacterial SSU rRNA
Rfam family: Bacterial small subunit ribosomal RNA
Source: RNAcentral
CAAGGAAUAUUGGGCAAUGGGCGAAAGCCUGACCCAGCGACACCGCGUGGGGGAAGAAGGCCCUCGGGUUGUAAACCCCUUUUAUUAGGGACGAAUAAUGACGGUACCUGAUGAAUAAGCUUCGGCUAACUACGUGCCAGCAGCCGCGGUAAUACGUAGGAAGCAAGCGUUAUCCGGAUUUAUUGGGCGUAAAGCGGGCGUAGGUGGUCCUUCAAGUCUGAUGUGAAAUCUCCCGGCUUAACUGGGAGGGUGCAUUAGAAACUGCUGGACUAGAGUGCAUCAGAGGAAGAUGGAAUUCCCGGUGUAGUGGUGAAAUGCGUAGAUAUCGGGAGGAACACUAGUGGCGAAGGCGGUCUUCUGGGAUGUAACUGACACUGAGGUCCGAAGGCGUGGGUAGCAAACAGG